Dermacentor albipictus is the source of this 367-nucleotide long non-coding RNA. RefSeq lists it as uncharacterized. The record is from RefSeq and is a predicted model, not a curated record. Lineage: Eukaryota; Metazoa; Arthropoda; Arachnida; Ixodida; Ixodidae.
CCGAAGUCGCCGCCAGAGGCGCCACGAACUACGCGGGCGUCGCGGGCGCGGAGCAGACGAAGACUUUGCGACAGACAGGUUUCUACGGUCUGCGUGUUUUCUGAAGAGAAAAUGAACAGGAGAAGGAAUCCACGCAACCCACGGCAGAAUGACCAGCUCAGCCCGAGCCGCGAAGACUUGAGACGCCUGCUGGUGGGCAUAAUCAUCAUCUUGGAGGCAAUACACCAGUUGCACCAAAUUUUGAUUGAACUCCUCCAGCGUGCCCUGAGGAUGAUGGUGUAGACAUGGUCGGCGAGACGCAUACCUCCGCCAUGUCGCUUUUACUUUUGCUCCCAUUUUUUUUAAUGCAAAAAAUCUUGCUGAGUUA